AGUGCUUGCCCUGGCUGCUGCGCUCCGCUCUGGCCAUGUGACGCAGCUGUAAAUUCAAGUAGCUGCUUGCAUUACCAGUGGGGCACAGCACAGCCAGCACGCAGGCGAGC
Molecule: microRNA precursor, 110 nt
Organism: Gallus gallus (chicken)
Lineage: Eukaryota; Metazoa; Chordata; Aves; Galliformes; Phasianidae
Source: Ensembl